This 202-nucleotide long non-coding RNA is filed under the name Homo sapiens (human). Its description in RNAcentral is "non-protein coding lnc-DICER1-4:1". The record is from RNAcentral. Lineage: Eukaryota; Metazoa; Chordata; Mammalia; Primates; Hominidae.
GAUAGUGAUGAUGGUGAUGAUGAUGGUGGUGGUGGUGAUGGUAGUGGUGAUGGUGAUUGUGAUGGUGGUGAUGGUGAUUGUGAUGGUGGUGGUGAUGGUGGUGAUGGUGGUGAUGGUGAUGUGAUGAUGGUGAUGGUGAUGACGAUGGUGGUGAUGGUGAUGGUGACGGUAGUGGUGAUAGUGAUGAUGGUGGUAAUGGUGA